UACGGAGGGGGCAAGCGUUGUUCGGAAUUACUGGGCGUAAAGCGCACGUAGGCUGACUUUUAAGUCGGGGGUGAAAUCCCAGGGCUCAACCCUGGAACUACCUUCGAUACUGGAGGUCUGGAGGUCGAGAGAGGCGAGUGGAAUGCCGAGUGUAGAGGUGACAUUCGUAGAUAUUCGGCCGGACACCAGUGGCGAAGGCGGCUCGCUGGCUCGAUACUGAGGCUGAGGUGCGAAAGCGUGGGGAGCAAACAGG
This 253-nucleotide ribosomal RNA is filed under the name uncultured bacterium. Its description in RNAcentral is "partial 16S ribosomal RNA". It matches the Rfam family "Bacterial small subunit ribosomal RNA", at positions 524 to 776 of the family's 1533-position model. The record is from RNAcentral.